CUCUGUGACUCCUACGGGAGGCAGCAGUGGGGAAUAUUGCACAAUGGGGGAAACCCUGAUGCAGCCAUGCCGCGUGUGUGAAGAAGGCCUUCGGGUUGUAAAGCACUUUCAGUAGGGAGGAAGGUAGUGUAGUUAACACCUGCAUUAUUUGACGUUACCUACAGAAGAAGCACCGGCUAACUCCGUGCCAGCAGCCGCGGUAAUACGGAGGGUGCGAGCGUUAAUCGGAAUUACUGGGCGUAAAGCGCAUGCAGGCGGCCUGUUAAGUCAGAUGUGAAAGCCCGGGGCUUAACCUCGGAAUUGCAUUUGAAACUGGCAGGCUAGAGUCUUGUAGAGGGGGUAGAAUUUCAGGUGUAGCGGUGAAAUGCGUAGAGAUCUGAAGGAAUACCAGUGGCGAAGGCGGCCCCCUGGACAGAUACUGACACUCAGAUGCGAAAGCGUGGGGAGCAAACAGGAUUAGAUACCCUGGUAG
RNAcentral lists this ribosomal RNA (472 nucleotides) under uncultured bacterium. RNAcentral's name for it is "bacterial SSU rRNA". It matches the Rfam family "Bacterial small subunit ribosomal RNA", at positions 328 to 793 of the family's 1533-position model. The record is from RNAcentral.